ACUUCUAUGCCAAUCUGUUUGAUAAAUCGUAGGCUGCGGCCGUCCUGCAACAUGUGGUCCAAGACGUGCCAUUCCUCUCCUUCGAUAUCAAUUUUUAGGUAGUCAAUCGGCCGAAAAGCUGAUGGAAAGCUGAAACGUCGUGAUUGCCGUUACCGCGAGAAUCAUUUUUGAAAACUGAAACGACGGAUCGAAUGCGUAGACAUCGCACCCAUAUUCAGCCAUGGCUGAUUCGAAAGACCUAUCAUCUGAGAGGCCAAAUGAAUAGACGACACACAUCCCUGGUGGCGGAGCCAGACCUGGAUCGAGACAGACGGACUUUUGGCCGUCAAUUCCAGCUAAGAUGGCAUGAACCAUCGUUCCGCCACAGAAAGUAAUCGUGGCCGACAGCAAUGCUGUUGUCAACGGUAGACCAAGUGUAUGAGCCUCUCCAGUCGAUGGAUGACGAAGAAAGUACGAUAAAGACGAUGUAAAAUCCAGCUGAUGCGAGGAAUAAGAGUCCCAUCGUCAAUCGAGUAACAUGUUGGCACUCCUUCUUUGAGAAAUGUUAAACCUAUAAGAACGACUGCUUUCGUAAUAUUUGAUUUAAACCUACCAUUUUAGGAUGGACCAGGAAAUAUAGUUAUGCCGCUA
Molecule: long non-coding RNA, 630 nt
Organism: Daphnia carinata
Lineage: Eukaryota; Metazoa; Arthropoda; Branchiopoda; Diplostraca; Daphniidae
Exons: 4
Source: RefSeq, a predicted model, not a curated record